Molecule: small nucleolar RNA, 107 nt
Filed under: Gossypium hirsutum (cotton)
Lineage: Eukaryota; Viridiplantae; Streptophyta; Magnoliopsida; Malvales; Malvaceae
Description: Plant small nucleolar RNA R71
Rfam family: Plant small nucleolar RNA R71
About the family: R71 is a member of the C/D box family of snoRNAs containing the C (UGAUGA) and D (CUGA) box motifs. Multiple nearly identical copies of this snoRNA have been identified in Arabidopsis, and it is thought to function as a 2'-O-ribose methylation guide for 18S ribosomal RNA.
Source: Rfam by way of RNAcentral
AUUCCAUGAUGAGGGCACUUUCGUAAUAAUUCUUUGUACCUUUCAUGUACCUCAUACAAGGACUCAUCAUCCAUUUGUUGGAAAGUAGUGAUCUCGUUCCUCAACUU